AGUGAACGCUGGCGGUAGGCCUAACACAUGCAAGUCGAACGGCAGCACAGUAAGAGCUUGCUCUUACAGGUGGCGAGUGGCGGACGGGUGAGGAAUACAUCGGAAUCUACUUUUUCGUGGGGGAUAACGUAGGGAAACGUACGCUAAUACCGCAUACGACCUACGGAUGAAAGCAGGGGAUCUUCGGACCUUGCGCGAUUGAAUGAGCCGAUGUCGGAUUAGCUAGUUGGCGGGGUAAAGGCCCACCAAGGCGACGAUCCGUAGCUGGUCUGAGAGGAUGAUCAGGCACACUGGAACUGAGACACGCUCCAGACUCCUACGGGAGGCAGCAGUGGGGAAUAUUGGACAAUGGGCGCAAGCCUGAUCCAGCCAUACCGCGUGGGUGAAGAAGGCCUUCGGGUUGUAAAGCCCUUUUGUUGGGAAAGAAAAGCAGCAGGUUAAUACCCCGCUGUUCUGACGGUACCCAAAGAAUAAGCACCGGCUAACUUCGUG
Molecule: ribosomal RNA, 492 nt
Filed under: uncultured bacterium
Lineage: Bacteria
Description: partial 16S ribosomal RNA
Rfam family: Bacterial small subunit ribosomal RNA
Source: RNAcentral